Planktothrix serta PCC 8927 is the source of this 37-nucleotide non-coding RNA. Lineage: Bacteria; Bacillati; Cyanobacteriota; Cyanophyceae; Oscillatoriales; Microcoleaceae. The record is from Rfam.
GUUGCAAUAACCAAUAAUCCCUAUCAGGGAUUGAAAC